AUGCAAGUCGAACGCUUCUUUCCUCCCGAGUGCUUGCACUCAAUUGGAAAGAGGAGUGGCGGACGGGUGAGUAACACGUGGGUAACCUACCCAUCAGAGGGGGAUAACACUUGGAAACAGGUGCUAAUACCGCAUAACAGUUUAUGCCGCAUGGCAUAAGAGUGAAAGGCGCUUUCGGGUGUCGCUGAUGGAUGGACCCGCGGUGCAUUAGCUAGUUGGUGAGGUAACGGCUCACCAAGGCCACGAUGCAUAGCCGACCUGAGAGGGUGAUCGGCCACACUGGGACUGAGACACGGCCCAGACUCCUACGGGAGGCAGCAGUAGGGAAUCUUCGGCAAUGGACGAAAGUCUGACCGAGCAACGCCGCGUGAGUGAAGAAGGUUUUCGGAUCGUAAAACUCUGUUGUUAGAGAAGAACAAGGACGUUAGUAACUGAACGUCCCCUGACGGUAUCUAACCAGAAAGCCACGGCUAACUACGUGCCAGCAGCCGCGGUAAUACGUAGGUGGCAAGCGUUGUCCGGAUUUAUUGGGCGUAAAGCGAGCGCAGGCGGUUUCUUAAGUCUGAUGUGAAAGCCCCCGGCUCAACCGGGGAGGGUCAUUGGAAACUGGGAGACUUGAGUGCAGAAGAGGAGAGUGGAAUUCCAUGUGUAGCGGUGAAAUGCGUAGAUAUAUGGAGGAACACCAGUGGCGAAGGCGGCUCUCUGGUCUGUAACUGACGCUGAGGCUCGAAAGCGUGGGGGAGCAAACAGGAUUAGGAUACCCUG
This 765-nucleotide ribosomal RNA is filed under the name Enterococcus sp. Bt 51. Its description in RNAcentral is "bacterial SSU rRNA". It matches the Rfam family "Bacterial small subunit ribosomal RNA", at positions 55 to 789 of the family's 1533-position model. Lineage: Bacteria; Bacillati; Bacillota; Bacilli; Lactobacillales; Enterococcaceae. The record is from RNAcentral.